AGAGUUUGAUCAUGGCUCAGAUUGAACGCUGGCGGCAGGCCUAACACAUGCAAGUUGAGCGGUAGCACAAGAGAGCUUGCUCUCUGGGUGACGAGCGGCGGACGGGUGAGUAAUGUCUGGGAAACUGCCUGAUGGAGGGGGAUAACUACUGGAAACGGUAGCUAAUACCGCAUAACGUCUUCGGACCAAAGUGGGGGACCUUCGGGCCUCACGCCAUCAGAUGUGCCCAGAUGGGAUUAGCUAGUAGGUGGGGUAAUGGCUCACCUAGGCGACGAUCCCUAGCUGGUCUGAGAGGAUGACCAGCCACACUGGAACUGAGACACGGUCCAGACUCCUACGGGAGGCAGCAGUGGGGAAUAUUGCACAAUGGGCGCAAGCCUGAUGCAGCCAUGCCGCGUGUGUGAAGAAGGCCUUCGGGUUGUAAAGCACUUUCAGCGAGGAGGAAGGGUAGUGUGUUAAUAGCACAUUGCAUUUGACGUUACUCGCAGAAAAGCACCGGCUAACUCCGUGCCACAGCCGCGGUAAUACCGGAGGGUGCAAGCGUUAUCGGAAUUACUGGGGCGUAAAGCCGCACGCAGCCGGUUGUUAAGUCAGAUGUGAAAUCCCCGCGCUUAACGUGGGAACUGCAUUUGGAACUGGCAGCUUAGAUCUUGUAGAAGGGGGGUAGAAUUCCAGGUGUACCGGUGAAUGCCUUA
Molecule: ribosomal RNA, 695 nt
Filed under: Serratia sp. T3
Lineage: Bacteria; Pseudomonadati; Pseudomonadota; Gammaproteobacteria; Enterobacterales; Yersiniaceae
Description: bacterial SSU rRNA
Rfam family: Bacterial small subunit ribosomal RNA
Source: RNAcentral